This 219-nucleotide long non-coding RNA is filed under the name Medicago truncatula (barrel medic). RNAcentral's name for it is "long non-coding RNA (MTRU_LNC004907)". Lineage: Eukaryota; Viridiplantae; Streptophyta; Magnoliopsida; Fabales; Fabaceae. The record is from RNAcentral.
UGGAAAAUCCUCCUGUUGCGAUCUUUCCAUAUAGUAUAUAAGGCUGAGAUCCAAAUAAUAGUAAAAGCUUUCAUAGAAUUCUUUGAGAAACCGCCUAGAGCGCAAAACUGAUUAGCAUGAGUAUAUAAAUUGUCAUUGAGAACCGUAACCAAACCUAACCAAUCCGAUAGCAUAAGCCAUAAUCGACCAUAAUAAUCGCAUUGGAAAAACAAAUGAUCC